GGGGAUAUGGCGAAAUCGGUAGACGCUACGGACUUAUCCGUCGACUUUAAAAAUCGUGAGGGUUCAAGUCCCUCUAUCCCCAA
Molecule: transfer RNA, 83 nt
Filed under: Torenia violacea
Lineage: Eukaryota; Viridiplantae; Streptophyta; Magnoliopsida; Lamiales; Linderniaceae
Description: tRNA-Leu
Rfam family: tRNA
About the family: Transfer RNA (tRNA) molecules are approximately 80 nucleotides in length.
Source: RNAcentral